CAUUCACGGAGAGUUUGAUCCUGGCUCAGGACGAACGCUGGCGGCGUGCUUAACACAUGCAAGUCGAACGAUGAA
This 75-nucleotide ribosomal RNA is filed under the name Streptomyces qinglanensis. Its description in RNAcentral is "16S rRNA. Bacterial SSU". It matches the Rfam family "Bacterial small subunit ribosomal RNA", at positions 1 to 73 of the family's 1533-position model. The record is from RNAcentral. Lineage: Bacteria; Bacillati; Actinomycetota; Actinomycetes; Kitasatosporales; Streptomycetaceae. RNAcentral also lists the same sequence under 1 other name.